This 403-nucleotide ribosomal RNA is filed under the name Fusobacteriota bacterium. RNAcentral's name for it is "Fusobacteria bacterium partial 16S ribosomal RNA". It matches the Rfam family "Bacterial small subunit ribosomal RNA", at positions 355 to 776 of the family's 1533-position model. Lineage: Bacteria; Fusobacteriati; Fusobacteriota. The record is from RNAcentral.
UGGGGAAUUUUGCACAAUGGAGGAAACUCUGAUGCAGCGACGCCGCGUGAGUGAUGAAGAUCUUCGGAUUGUAAAACUCUGUUCUUAGUGAAGAUAAUGACAGUAACUAAGAAGCAAGCCCUGGCUAAAUACGUGCCAGCAGCCGCGGUAAUACGUAUGGGGCAAGCGUUGUCCGGAAUUAUUGGGCGUAAAGGGUACGUAGGCGGUUUAAUAAGUCCUAAUUAAAAGGCUAUGGCUCAACCAUAGUAUGGUUAGGAAACUGUUGAACUUGAGUAGAUGAGGGGAAAGUGGAAUUCCAUGUGUAGCGGUGAAAUGCGUAGAUAUAUGGAGGAACACCAAUGGCGAAGGCAACUUUCUGGAAUCAAACUGACGCUGGGGUACGGAGGCGUGGGGAGCAAACAGG